ACGCACGCUGGCGGCAGGCUUAACACCUGCAAGUCGAACGCCCCGCAAGGGGAGUGGCCGACGGGUGAGUAACGCGUGGGAACAUACCCUUUCCUGCGGAAUAGCUCCGGGAAACUGGAAUUAAUACCGCAUACGCCCUACGGGGGAAAGAUUUAUCGGGGAAGGAUUGGCCCGCGUUGGAUUAGCUAGUUGGUGGGGUAAAGGCCUACCAAGGCGACGAUCCAUAGCUGGUCUGAGAGGAUGAUCAGCCACAUUGGGACUGAGACACGGCCCAAACUCCUACGGGAGGCAGCAGUGGGGAAUAUUGGACAAUGGGCGCAAGCCUGAUCCAGCCAUGCCGCGUGAGUGAUGAAGGCCUUAGGGUUGUAAAGCUCUUUCACCGAUGAAGAUAAUGACGGUAGUCGGAGAAGAAGCCCCGGCUAACUUCGUG
This 430-nucleotide ribosomal RNA is filed under the name uncultured bacterium. RNAcentral describes it as "partial 16S ribosomal RNA". It matches the Rfam family "Bacterial small subunit ribosomal RNA", at positions 29 to 507 of the family's 1533-position model. The record is from RNAcentral.